This 2644-nucleotide unclassified non-coding RNA is filed under the name Orussus abietinus. RNAcentral describes it as "carboxy-terminal domain RNA polymerase II polypeptide A small phosphatase 1, transcript variant X2". The record is from RNAcentral. Lineage: Eukaryota; Metazoa; Arthropoda; Insecta; Hymenoptera; Orussidae.
UCGAGUCGCGUGUGACACACGGAGGCGUCGCGGCGCACCGGUGUGUACGCCAGAGCGCACCAGUGUAGGCCCCGGAGAGUCCGUGCAUGAGUGUGUGCGCGCGCGCGCCCGUAGCGAGUACUCCGCGCGCAUUCACGGAAUUCACGCUCGGGCUCGAGACUCUCAACAAAUGUUUAAAUGGACGCAUCGUCCAUUAUCACCCAAGUGUCGCGGGAUGACGAGCUAGGACAGUUCAACAGCGAGAAAGCGCAGCUGCCCCGAGAGAAUGAAGCGUCCAACGGACCCGUCGGCGGGAAGAAGCCGCGAGGCCGGGGCCUCCUGCGCUCCCUCCUCUGCUGUCUGGGCAGAGGUCGGGGAAGCAGCUCCAAAAGCUCCAAGGCUAGCUCCCUCCAGGGCGACGGAAGGGGCUCUCCGCCUCCUGGUACGGGAUCCCCUCGGUUCCUCCUUCCCCCUGUUCGACACCAGGAUAUGCAUAAGAAGUGCAUGGUGAUCGAUUUGGAUGAGACUCUAGUGCACAGUUCGUUCAAGCCGAUCAAUAAUGCGGACUUCGUCGUCCCUGUGGAAAUCGAUGGAACGGUACACCAAGUGUACGUUUUAAAGAGGCCUUACGUCGACGAGUUCUUGCAGAGGAUGGGAGAACUCUAUGAGUGUGUACUGUUCACCGCGAGCCUGGCGAAGUAUGCCGACCCUGUAGCGGACCUACUCGACAGGUGGGGCGUCUUCAGAGCGAGAUUAUUCAGAGAAUCCUGUGUGUUUCAUCGUGGAAUUUACGUCAAGGAUCUGAAUAAACUAGGCAGAGAUCUCCAGCAGAUUAUUAUCGUCGACAAUAGUCCAGCCAGCUACAUCUUUCACCCAGAUAAUGCGGUACCCGUUGCUUCUUGGUUCGACGACAUGACGGAUUCGGAAUUACUGGACUUAAUUCCGUUUUUCGAGAAGCUCAGUAACGUGGAGAACAUUUACACGGUACUGUGCAACAGCAAUCAUCCAUACAACCAGACACCUUCGGUGGUACAGUAUAGCCCCAGUCCCGGAUCAGGACCACUUGGAGCAUCCUAGCCACGCCGGAACCCUGGCUCCCUGGCCAGUCUUAUCGCUCCUCGAUGCACCUUAAGAAGGAUCCUCAUCGGGCUUCCUGGCGUCGCUCGUCUGUUGCGCCAUGAACGAUCGGCCACUUCCAGCUAAAUCGUACGAUUUUGCCUGGUGUCGACGACGCAUGCACUCGUGGUGCGGCGCAAAGAUACGAAUAGUGACCGGUGACUGGGAAGGUGUAACUCUCUGUCCAGACGCAGACAUGGGACUCGCGUGACUCGGUGUCGGUCACGUUAAUCGCCAGACAGUGAACAGUGACCAUUCAAGAGAGUUCGCAAAGGAGAGAAGAAUCGGCGAAGAUUUUCACUUAAACCCUACGCACGGUGCAGCACGGACCGCUUUUUCCUUCGCGGGUCAAACCGGGAAAGGAAGCGAGUACUCAGUUAAGGAGACGAAACGGAACGUCGCUGAGAAAAAGAGAAACGAUCGAGUUGGUCGAUUUACAACAAUCCCGUUCAAUCCGGACGCGCGAAAGUCAACGAUUCUUUUUCCGCGCGAUCGCUGUGUUGCAGAGCCGGUGACAAAGGAAACAAAAUCAAGUUAACGAAAUCCACAUGAAUCAUAUGGGCUCGGGAAGGCAUAUAGUUCUUUUUUUCUCUCUUUUUAUGUUUUUCUUUCGCAACAGACUCGGCCGAGUGACACCCUAGACACGAAUUAAUAAGCCACGCUCUUUACGACGCGUCCUUUUCGGUCAGACGGAGGCGCGUUGUCUUUCACGGGGGAAAUGACUUUUACCACUCUCGACGAGGUAUAUAUAAAUAUAUAAAUAUAUAAAAAGGAACACGAAGAAACGCGGCGUGAGUUAACCGUUUGAGUCCCAAGCAGCGCGAUCGCGCUGUUCAGAUUUUAUGUCGAGAAAACCCAACACAUUUCGAGCGUUGUGAACAACUAGCGGUGCGUCACCGAUUGUCGAAAUCGCGCGCUCAGAUUUACUCACCCAAGUACAUCUCCUUCUUUUAAUGUAAAUAAUACAUCUUACAAUUCAAGAAACGCUAUCGCGCCGAUUAGGAUUCAUCGACAUAAAAUAAACGAAGCGCUAUCGCGCUGCUUGGGUCUUCUCGUACUCAUUUACAGAAAGCGUGAUUGCGCUGUUCGGGAUUCUUUGACAGGGUUUUUUCAAUACCCCCUGGGACUCAAACGGUUAAUGCAAGGUGCGUCCACGAGAUUCGAACGUGGACGCGUGCAUAUAGGGUAUAUAUUGUACGUAAACGCGCGAUCAACAAUGCCUUGAUUUGUAAAUAGAAUGAAAUCUUCCAUCGUUUGUCCUCCGACCGAGGCGGCGCGCCGCCAUGUUGUUUGCAGAGCCUCUCCCGUUUUUAGUACAUUUUUAUAAAAUCUUGACGACCUCUUCGUUCUCCCUUUUUCUUUUUUUCUUUUUUUUUUUAACUGCGCAUCCAUUUUCUACCGAUCAGGGAAGGCUUCGAGAUAUCGGUGCGGCUGCAGAAUACGAAAAUGUAAUAUUCCCCAACCCUCUUCGAUAUGUCCAGUUUGCUCUGUGAUUCUGUGUUUAAUAAACGAAGAAUAUGUAUAAAUAUAUAUAUUUGAUAAUCUCGAA